GUGAAUCAUCGAAUUUUUGAACGCAAAUUGCACUCUCUUCGAAGAGUAUGCGUGUUUGAGGUUCAGCCUAAAAAAAAUCGACAUACUUGCUGAUACUUUGUAACAUUCGUCGGAGGCCUGGGCAUCUUGAGCCUUUGGGUUCAAGCGGCUUAACUUUCUUUUUACCAUUUCAAGACCGCUUCUAAGAUUUUAUUUUCUUAUACGGUUAAGAGAUCGAUCUUUAUUA
RNAcentral lists this unclassified non-coding RNA (226 nucleotides) under Glomus sp. RNAcentral describes it as "partial contains 5.8S ribosomal RNA and internal transcribed spacer 2". The stretch from base 1 to 65 matches the Rfam family "5.8S ribosomal RNA", at positions 84 to 154 of the family's 154-position model. The record is from RNAcentral. Lineage: Eukaryota; Fungi; Glomeromycota; Glomeromycetes; Glomerales; Glomeraceae.